GACGAACGCUGGCGGCGCGCCUAACACAUGCAAGUCGAACGAGCGAGCGAGAGCUUGCUUCCUCGAGCGAGUGGCGAACGGGUGAGUAACGCGUUAGGAACCCGCCCCAAAGCGGGGGACCACAGUUGGAAACGACUGCUAAUACCGCAUACGCCCACAGCUCGGCAUCGAGCAGAGUGAAAAGGAGUGAUCCGCUUUGAGAUGGCCUCGCGACCGCUUAGCUAGUUGGUGAGGUAACGGCACACCAAGGCGACGAUCGGUAGCCGGACUGAGGGGUUGAGCGGCCACAUUGGGACUGAGACGCGGCCCAGACUCCGACGGGAGGCAGGAGUGAGGAAUAUUGCACAAUGGGGGAAACCCUGAUGCAGCUACGCCGCGUGGAGGAGGAAGGUCUUCGGAUUGUAAACUCCUGUUGUUGAGGAAGAUAAUGACGGUACUCAACAAGGAAGUGACGGCUAACUACGUGCCAGCCGCCGCGGUAA
Molecule: ribosomal RNA, 482 nt
Filed under: uncultured bacterium
Lineage: Bacteria
Description: partial 16S ribosomal RNA
Rfam family: Bacterial small subunit ribosomal RNA
Source: RNAcentral